AACGAACGCUGGUGGUAUGCUUAACACAUGCAAGUCGAACGGGCAUAGCAAUAUGUCAGUGGCAAACGGGUGAGUAAUGUAUAGGAAUCUACCUAGCAGUAAGGAAUAACCCUGGGAAACCAGGGCUAAUGCCAUAUAUUACCGGUUAGCAAUAACCGGGAGAGAUUUAUCCCUGUUAGAUGAGCCUGUAUCAGAUUAGCUAGUUGGUGGGGUAAUAGCCUACCAAGGCAAUGAUCUGUAGCUGGUCUGAGAGGAUAAUCAGCCACACUGGAACUGCGACACGGUGCAGACUCCUACGGGAGGCAGCAGUGGGGAAUAUUGGACAAUGGGCGCAAGGCUGAUCCAGCAAUACCACGUGAGUGAUGAAGGCCUUCGGGUUGUAAAACUCUUUUAGUAGGGAAGAUAAUGACUGUACCUACAGAAAAAGCACCGGCUAACUUCGUGCCAGCAGCCGCCGCCG
Molecule: ribosomal RNA, 460 nt
Filed under: uncultured bacterium
Lineage: Bacteria
Description: partial 16S ribosomal RNA
Rfam family: Bacterial small subunit ribosomal RNA
Source: RNAcentral